This 2987-nucleotide long non-coding RNA is filed under the name Pongo abelii (Sumatran orangutan). Its description in RNAcentral is "lincRNA". The record is from RNAcentral. Lineage: Eukaryota; Metazoa; Chordata; Mammalia; Primates; Hominidae.
GCCAAAGCUGAACUCUAAAUGGAGCAUCCACAGAAUGGAGAUCUCCUGCACAAGCCAGGGAUUCUUUUUCCUCAAAGAGCACAGCUCUGGAGUGAGCUCUGCGAAGGGAGUACAGAUGCCUGGAAGGACCCUCUACAGGAGCCUUUGCUCCUGGGUGUUUCCGCUGCAUAGCCCAACCAGACCUCCAUAACCCGCAUUAGCCCCCAAGGGCUUUCUCCUGCUCUGUCCAACUAGCAGCAACGCCUCCAAGCUCAUGCCUUAUUAUUUAUUCCACCGAAGCGGAGGAGUUGACAACAGCAAAAUCUCUCUUCUUAUCCUACUUGGCUGUGAACUCAAACAAAAAAGAAAAAAAUUGGGACCAGCCACCGCCCUGGGGGAACAGUGGCAGGGUGGAGUGAUCUGAACAUGAGCGUGAGAAGAACUGAGUGGCUACAGUGAUUGGGCUAUAAUAGACUCUGUCACUGGCCCAGCUGUAAUCCCCGGCGCCUGCUGCUUCACUGUGUUCUGCAGGAGUUCCACUGCCCUGAAUCUCUGACUCUGUGCCUGAGGUCUUUUUCUGGAAUUGUGGAAGGUACUCUGCUUUGUGGGAAAUAAGCUGGAAGUUCUGGGAAUCACACUUCCCAGAAGCUACUCCCAACUAGUGAUUGACGGGAGUUGAAGUAAAAACAUCAUGGCUUUCUUACCCCUUAAGUGGAAUAUUUUACACUAUUUUUCAGAAUUUCCCCAUGGAGUUAAGCUGUAAUUGUGCAUCACGGCAGCCAGGUUAAUAAGGUAUCUGUAUCUGCCAGAAUUAAAUGAGAAGGCAGAAUCACAUAGUAAUUUGAGCAGGAAAAGUUUAAUAUAAGGAAUUAUGAUGUAAUUAUAGAGUUGUUCUAUAAUUAUGUAAUAUUAUAUUCUAAUCUCCUCUUAUACACUAUAGGAGGGGAUUUGCAGUAACAAGGGAUUAGAUAGCAAGAUGUAAGAGAACUCUGAAGAAUAUAGGACUAGUGGAUAUAAGGAACAGCCACUACCCCUGGGGCUGAGGUGGAGCACCCCAAGAAGUAAAGAACCUGGAAUAAGAACACCUCACCUCACUCACGGCUUAUUGGAUGGUGAAGAAGUCCCUCAGUUGUGAUGCUGUAGAACUUUCUGGAAAUUUGCCCUCCAUAUUGUCAAAGGAAUCUGUCCAAGAGAGGUUUCAUCUCUCAGAACUUAUCUCAAAACUUUCUCGGGGAUUGCCAGGGGAAAUUGUCACAGGAGACUCCAUGAGGGGUCAUUUCACUCCUAGGCUGUUCAAGAGAGUUCUGGGGGAAGCUGCGCACUGCUGGUCACAACAGGUUGUAAGAGCUGGGCCCUGGAGAAGCUGCCUGCACUGCAGGAGACUGGGUGCUGCUGGAGUUGCUGGAUGAGCUUAAGGCAUGUGGGGAGAGGAGAGCAUUAAAACUAGGAAAUGAAACCUCUUUCUAUUCUACUGUCCCUCCAGCACCCUCUACUGUAAACACUUUAACAUUGUACCAGCUGGCACAGGAGAAAUAUUUACGGGGCCCAUCUAUAACAUAGCAAAGCAGGCAACAAAGGGUGAACUUGGAGUGCCUCACAUGUUGCUCUAUGUUGACCUCUUCCCUUUCCUUUUUCAUUCCCCUACUCCCCUUAUUGGUUUUCCUUAAAUUCUAAAUAAAAUACAGUCGUCCUCGGUAUCCAAGGGGGAUUGGUUCCAGGCUUCUCAGAGAAUACCAAAAUCUGUGGGUGCUCAAGUCUCUGUUAUAAAAUGGCAUAGUAUUUGCAUACAACCUACACACGUCUUCCCAUAUACUUUAAAUCAUUUCCAUGUUACUUACAAUACCUAAUAAAAAUGCUACAUAAAUAGUUGUCAUACUGAAUUACUUUUUAUUUUUGUAUUGUUAUUUAUUAAUUUUUUCAAAUGUUUUUUACUGCCUGUUUGGUUGAAUCAUGGAUGUAGAGUUCAUGGAUAUUGAGGGCUGACUAAUUGCACUUGAAUUUUGACUCAGUGUUUGCUUUUGGGAAAACCCAGACUACACUUUGAAAGUAAAGCCAAUAAAAUUUUCUAAUGCAUUGUAUUUGGGAUAUGAGCAAAAUGGAGGAGUCAAGGACGCUUCCAGUGUUUUUGGCCUAAACCAUGGGGAAAAUUUCACCUUUAUAAUAUUAAGUUUCUUAGUUUUAAUACUGAAUAUGAUACCUCCUUCCAAUUUCCCUGUAGAGCCCUUUGCAUCUUUCAUUGAAUUUAUUCCUAAGCAUUUAAUAGUUUUGAUGCCAUUGUAAAUAAUAUAUUUUUUCUUUUUCUUUUUUUUAAAAAUAGAGUCUCACAUGCUGGAGUGCAGUGGUGCGAUCUUGGCUCACUGCAGCCUCAAACUCCUGGGUUCAAGCGAUCCUCUUGCCUCAGUCCCUCAAGUAGCUGGGACUACAGACAUGCACCACCAGGCCAGGCUAAUUUUUUUGUAUUUUUUGUAGAGAUGGGAUUUUGCCAUGUUGCCUAGGCUAGUCUUGAACUCCUGAGCUCAAGUGAUCCACCAGCCAUGGCCUCCCAAAGUGCUGGGAUUACAGGCAUGAGCUACCACAUCCAGCUUGUAAAUGGAAUAUUUUUAAAUGUCAGUUUCUAAAAUGUUUUGUUAGCAUAAAGAAAUACAAUUGACUUUUUAAUACCAAGCCAUCUUGCUAAUUUAAUAAUUUAGUUCUAGAUUUUAUUUAGACUUCAUAGUUGUGCAAUUGUACUAUCUGUGGAAAAUAACAAUUUUUCUCUUCCUUUAUAAUCUUUAGCUUUUUUUCCUUUUCCUUGGCUUUUUGCAAGAUAAUGGGACGUCCAGUGUGGUGUUAUAUACAAGUGGUAAUUGUGAGUGUCCCUGUUCUGUUCUUUUUGUUUGUUGCUCUCAAGCUCAAAGAAAAACAACUUUGUUAUUUCAUCAUUGAGUAUAAUAACACUUAAACUUUACUUACUGUAGGAUUAUUGUACAUAAUCUUUAUUGUAUUAAAGAUGUUCCUAUUUUGCUAAG